ACCUACGGGGCGCAGCAGUAGGGAAUCUUCCACAAUGGGCGAAAGCCUGAUGGAGCAACGCCGCGUGGGUGAAGAAGGUCUUCGGAUCGUAAAACCCUGUUGUUAGAGAAGAAAGUGCGUGAGAGUAACUGUUCAUGUUUCGACGGUAUCUAACCAGAAAGCCACGGCUAACUACGUGCCAGCAGCCGCGGUAAUACGUAGGUGGCAAGCGUUAUCCGGAUUUAUUGGGCGUAAAGGGAACGCAGGCGGUCUUUUAAGUCUGAUGUGAAAGCCUUCGGCUUAACGGGAGUAGUGUAUUGGAAAGU
RNAcentral lists this ribosomal RNA (305 nucleotides) under uncultured bacterium. RNAcentral's name for it is "bacterial SSU rRNA". It matches the Rfam family "Bacterial small subunit ribosomal RNA", at positions 337 to 634 of the family's 1533-position model. The record is from RNAcentral.